Molecule: RNA transcript, 4841 nt
Organism: Clupea harengus (Atlantic herring)
Lineage: Eukaryota; Metazoa; Chordata; Actinopteri; Clupeiformes; Clupeidae
Exons: 3
Source: RefSeq, a predicted model, not a curated record
CUGUCAUCAGUUGUAUUGCUUAUGAAUCAAAUUCAAAUCAAAAUAAGGAUUUCAAAAUUUGUGUUAGUGUUAAAAAUGUAUCAAUUCAUGUGGAAGUCAUAUAAGAUUUUCUUCAUGCUUUGAAUUUUGGUAGUACAUUGUACGCCUAUCACUUGUUAUUGAGUUUAAGAUUGAAGUUUUAAUGAUGUGCCUAUUUUUUAUUUUUUUUUAUCUGUUGCAGGGUUAGGUGGUGGAAAUGUGGAGCUGUAAGGGAUGCAAAGAAACGGUAUCAAGUAGGUCCACACUCUUAAAUCACUACAAGCUUAAGCAUCCGCAUUCUGGACGUAGUGCUCCCUUUCCCUGUACAUACCCACACUGUCCUUGCACAUUUAGAACAUGGAAUGCCCUUAUUGUCCACCAAAGUAAGAUUCACUCCACAGGGGUCACUAGCAAGGAGCAUGCUAUAUUCAGUUGCCAUCUCUGUACUUGUAAUGAUUUGGCCUCAGAGAGGGAUUAUUUUGCUCAUGUAAAUACUCACCUCAAAAGAAAUGAGACAGUCAGUUGUAUGUUUCUUGACUGUGACUUUAAAACAAACGUUUAUUGCACGUUUAAAUCACACAAGAACCGAAAACACUGCCAUCACUCAUUGGUUGAUUUUAAACCUGGAGUAGUAAUAACUACGGAAUCAGCAUCUGUUGAUGAAUUGGAAGCAAAUAGCGAGGAGAAUGUAGAACAGUUGGAUACUGCCACUCCUUCAAGUAGUUGGUCUGACAGUACGGACUUGCAGACAAACAUAGAGCAAAGAUUUGCUGCUGCUCUGUUAAAGUUGGAGCAUUUGGUUCAUGUGCCAAGCACAGCUGUUGAUGGGUUUUUAGGGGAACUCCAUCAUUUGAUUUCUUCUGCUCCUGUCCCCCUUUCUUGUGAAAUGGUUAGGGACAUCUUUCAUCAGAGAAACCUUUCUGUCGAUGAUCUUGUUAUUAGAGAGACAGUUGAUUCAAUUUGUUGUGGUAGUCCUGUGCAGAGGUCCAUACAGAAAGGUGGCCCUUUAAGCACUGCAUAUCUGCGGAAGCUUUAUUACAAGGAGAAUUUUAGUGUCGUACAACCAGUUGAAUACGUCCUGGAUGCUAAAAGCAAACAUAGUUAUCAAUAUGUUCCCAUACUUAAGUCCUUGCAGCAGCUGUUGAGUAGACAGGAGGUCAUUGAUCAGAUAGUUGAGGGUCAUCAAAGACAAGAUGACGCACAGUCUGGAGUUUCCUACAAGUGCUCAAAAGAUGGUUCCCUCUUCAAGGACAAUCCUUUUUUUUCUAGGGGAAAGCCAAGGAUAAUCCUGCAGUGUUAUGUAGAUGACUUUGAGGUCUGUAACCCCCUUGGCACCUCAAGAAAGAAGCAUAAACUUUGUGCUGUUUAUUGGGUAUUGGGUAACUUGCGUCCAGGGUCUCAUUCAUCAUUAUCAUCCAUCUACUUAGCAGUUUUGUGUAAAACUGAUCAUGUUAAAAUCUAUGGUUAUGACAGGAUCUUAGAACCUCUUCUUCAAGACCUGAAAACUCUGGAGGAGCUGGGUGUUUAUGUCCCACUGCUAGGUGAGUCAGUUAAAGGCACCAUAUUUAGUGUAGUAGCUGACAACUUGGGAGCGCACAGCAUUGCUGGAUUUAUGGAGAGUUUUUCUGUGGAACACUAUUGCAGGUUUUGCACAGGAAAGAGCAGUGAUAUUCAGCUACAUUCUGUUGCAUCUGGCGCUUUCGAGUUGAGAACCAAGGAGCUUCAUCAGGCCCAUGUCAAACAGGUUGAAGAUACAGGUACAGCUUGUUUUGGUAUGAAGCGGUUAUGCGUCUUUACUAAAUAUCUGUCUCAUUUUCAUGUCAUCUUUGGCUAUCCACCUGACCUGGCCCAUGAUGUUUUGGAGGGUAUAAUCCCUGUUGAGCUUGCUCGUUGCUUAGCAGUUCUUAUAUCUAAAAAGUUUUUCACAUUAGCUGACUUAAACAAUGCAAUUUCUACGUUUCCCUAUAAAUGGGCUGACAGGACAAACAAACCUCAUGUAGUCUCUCAAAGUUUCUCCAAAACCAAAACUGUGGGAGGAAAUGCGCAUGAAAACUGGAGCUUGCUCCGAUUCUUGCCUUUCUUGAUUGCACCACUUGUGCCUGAGGAUGAACCUGCCUGGCUUAUUCUCAUGGACCUGAAGGACAUCACAGAGCUUGUUGUGGCCAUUGUACAUACUGAUGACUCAUUGGCUUUUUUAGAAAGCAAAAUCAUAGAGCACAGACAGAGGUAUCAAGAGUUGUUCCCCGAUGUCAGGUUGCUGCCAAAACACCACUUUUUGGAGCACUACCCCCAGAUGAUCAGGCUGUUUGGUCCAGUUGUCGGGCAGUGGACGAUGCGCUUUGAGGCUAAGCACAGCUUUUUUAAGCAGGUUGUCAGGCACACAAGUUGUUUUAAGAAUGUGCCCCUCUCGUUAGCCUCAAAGCAUCAAAUGAUGAUUGCUUACCACCUGAGCACUCCAUGUCUGAGCAAGCCUGACCUAGAGGUCUCAAGUGUGUCCACUCUACCAGUAGACUUACUCAAAGAGGAGAUGGCACAGAUCAUUAGACAAAAAUUUCCUGAAAUAUCUGAAGUCCAUCUUUCGCAGUGUGUGACAACCAAGGGCAUAACUUAUAGGAAGGGAAUGAUACUGGCCCACAGAGAAGUAGGUGGAUUGCCUGAGUUUAGCGAAAUUGACCAAAUCGUCAUUAUACACAAGUGUGUAUUCUACAUUGUCAAAGAGCUCUGUGGUUGGUAUUCUGAACAUUAUAGAGCUUUCCAUCUCAGCCCGACACCCACAAGGACAUUUAGUCUCGUUGCACUUGGUGAGCUCCUUGACAGUUAUCCACUAGUUGACUACAGGAUUGGAUCAGCUCGCAUGGUGACUCUGAAAAGGCAUAUUAUAAUAAAAGGUGCGCUAGGAAACUUUGUGUUUAUUAAUAAUGGUUCUAAUCUCAUGUGUCUUACAGGCCCCCUAAAGAGUUUAUAUACAUGUCUAAUAACUGAAUAUUAUUUUGUUUGUGUACACAGACUAAACACCUUUGAAGAUGGAGACUACAUUCAUAAUGAAGAUAAUCUUGCCUGAUGGCAGUUCUCAGAGACUAACCCUAACAGGACCUCCUGCAUGCAUCGAAGAUCUAUAAACAGAAGUGAAGAGACAGUGUAGACUUCAGGGACAUUUCAGUCUUCAGUUUAAAGAUUCAGUAUUUGGGGGUGAAUUCCUUAACCUCACCUCUGUUUCAGAGGUGGAGGAUAAAGGCACACUUAAGGUAAUUGAUUCGUCCGGGCCCCUCAUGCAGCGAGAUGAGAGUGCUUGGAUGGUUACAGGAGUCAGUCCUUCUGGAAGUGUGACUUCGUCCCUGUCUGUGGAUACAGAUGUGUUAUCUUCAGAUGUGUUGUCUUCAAGCGAGUCAAUAAGCUCGCGAUCAUCUUGGCCUGCAGUUUUUCAAGUACCGAGGUUUUCUUAUGACGCAGAGCUCAAACUCACACAGGCAGCUGUAGCUUACCUCAAAGAUGGCACUCUAUUCAGUCCUGAUCCAAAAUUGAAGUCCGAUGUACUUGAUGGUCUUCUGCAGGAAAUUGUGAAAUAUAAAAUAUACAUCACUGGUAAGCAGGCAGAUCAGGUAGCCCAGUCUCUUAUAAAGAGGCAUCCGUGCUUGGCUGAGAGAGGAUCGGACACCGGGUAUGGUGGGUGGAAGACCAGUAUUAAAUAUAAAGUAUCCAAUUACCGUUCACAAUUAAAAAAGAUUGGCUGCCCAGAAGUGACUGUAAAUGCCUUAAAAAACAAACCCGAAGGAAAGCAAAGUCCAGCCUUCGGUGUGAAGAAAGCCAAAAGGGCUGAAGUAAAUUUUUGUCCAGCAUAUCCAGCAACUGAAACUGAGGAGAGUUUGGAUGCCACACGGAAAGCUCUACUGCUGGACAGUAAGAGGAAGAACAACAGAGAAGCUGUGAGAAUCCAGAUGGAAAAGACAUUUGCUCUUCGAAGACAGGAAGUUGUGCGCGACACACCAAUGGUGGCAGACUUUAUGGCAAGGUGGCCUGCACUGUUUGAAGUCACAGAAAUCAACGCGGAAUUCAAAAGAAUUACGACUGUCCCACUUCAAUCCAAGUUCCUGUCUCAGAUAGACCUUCACUCUGACAACCUGAUAAAGCUGUUCCGAAAGAGAGGGGGACAAAUAGGGAAAAGUCUCCAAGCCACCAUAGAGAAAAUGACUGAUGUGAGUGAUACAGGGUCUUAAUCAUGCAAACCUUACAGGGGAUUUGAAUCAUGUUGAUAUUGAUAUUUCUUUGCAUAUUGUAUUUGUCUAACUUUUCCUUUCUUUUUCCAUGAUCGUUUCCAGCAGUAGUGGACUUAAAUGAAAGUUGGAUUAACAUGCUAAUUAAGAUUUUUUUUUGUGUGUUUCAGUGUGAUAUAGAUGCUGGCCGGGAGUGUCUCCUGAAGGGUCUUUGUAUGUACAUGGGGGAAGAUCCUGAAAACCUUGUGCAGGAAUAUGUGGGCAUUGAUGAAGUUGAUGUCAGUAAAUUAAUUGACGACACAACCGUUGGGAUUUACGUGCUGAGAGAACACGGAUCGAGUGAACCGGAGGACAUUGGGGUGGUACUCGAAGGACUCAAAGUAUUGACCGAUCUUGAUAGCAUACCGUCAGCCGUCACGAUGAUGUUGGGUCUGAUGUAUGCCCUUAACCUCAGGUACCCACCUGACCUUAGAUACACCUUUGAGGCACUGCAAAAAAUCUUCAUGGAGCUUGAUGAAGGCAAACUCUCCAACAAAGUUGCUCUGUUAAAGAACAGGUUGUUUCAGUAAAGGGUUCAUUUUAUCUUUGAAAACAAACUACUGUUAUAACCAG